AUGUGGUUUAAUUCGAUGAUACGCGAGGAACCUUACCUGGGCUCAAUGUAUGUUGACGUAUUCUGAAAGGGAUACUCUUCGGACAAUAUACAAGGUGCUGCAUGGUUGUCGUCAGCUCGUGCCGUGAGGUGUCGGGUUAAGUCCCGCAACGAGCGCAACCCUCGCCCUUAGUUGCCAGCAUUUAGUUGGGCACUCUAAGGGGACUGCCGGUGAUAAGCCGAGAGGAAGGUGGGGAUGACGUCAAGUCCUCAUGGCCCUUACGGGCUGGGCUACACACGUGCUACAAUGGUGGUGACAGUGGGCAGCGAGCACGCGAGUGUGAGCUAAUCUCCAAAAGCCAUCUCAGUUCGGAUUGCACUCUGCAACUCGAGUGCAUGAAGUUGGAAUCGCUAGUAAUCGCGGAUCAGCAUGCCGCGGUGAAUACGUUCCCGGGCCUU
RNAcentral lists this ribosomal RNA (437 nucleotides) under uncultured Ochrobactrum sp. Its description in RNAcentral is "bacterial SSU rRNA". It matches the Rfam family "Bacterial small subunit ribosomal RNA", at positions 939 to 1382 of the family's 1533-position model. The record is from RNAcentral. Lineage: Bacteria; Pseudomonadati; Pseudomonadota; Alphaproteobacteria; Hyphomicrobiales; Brucellaceae.